CUUAUGUUCUACAUCCUCCAGGACACCCCAAUCAACUUCCCGAAACUUAUUUACAGAUACCUAUGUGAGCCACUAGAUAGGCCUAGGCUCACCCUUCCCUACGGCAUGCUAUACACACUUAUUUUUAGGGAGGCCGAGAUUCCUAUUCCUGAGGGGGAACCCUCUCGCGCAUUGCGAUGGACAGAUCGCAUGCGUGCGGGAACCCUACACAGGAUGGGGUUUCGUAAGUGUUGCCCAAGGUGACAAGCCAAGAGGGGGGGGUGAAUUGGUUUCUUCUAAAUUUUGGUGCUUUAAACGUUUUCUUAAUUAAGUGCGGUGGAUGCUUCCUUAAACUAUUUGAAUGAUUUAAACUAGUGCAAAGAUAGAAGAUGACGCAAGAAU
This 381-nucleotide long non-coding RNA is filed under the name Phoenix dactylifera (date palm). RNAcentral describes it as "long non-coding RNA (PDAC_LNC008649)". The record is from RNAcentral. Lineage: Eukaryota; Viridiplantae; Streptophyta; Magnoliopsida; Arecales; Arecaceae.